UACGUAGGGUGCGAGCGUUGUCCGGAAUUAUUGGGCGUAAAGGGCUCGUAGGCGGUUUGUCGCGUCGGGAGUGAAAUCCACUGGCUUAACUGGUGGCUUGCUUUCGAUACGGGCAGACUGGAGGUAUGCAGGGGAGAGCGGAAUUCCUGGUGUAGCGGUGAAAUGCGCAGAUAUCAGGAAGAACACCCGUGGCUAAGGCGGCUCUCUAGUACGGUACUGACGCUGAGACGCGAAAGCGUGGGGAGCGAACAGG
Molecule: ribosomal RNA, 253 nt
Filed under: uncultured bacterium
Lineage: Bacteria
Description: partial 16S ribosomal RNA
Rfam family: Bacterial small subunit ribosomal RNA
Source: RNAcentral